Molecule: ribosomal RNA, 490 nt
Filed under: uncultured bacterium
Lineage: Bacteria
Description: partial 16S ribosomal RNA
Rfam family: Bacterial small subunit ribosomal RNA
Source: RNAcentral
GUGCACGCUGGCGGUAGGCCUAACACAUGCAAGUCGCACGGCAGCACAGUAAGAGCUUGCUCUUACGGGUGGCGAGUGGCGGACGGGUGAGGAAUACAUCGGAAUCUACUUUUUCGUGGGGGAUAACGUAGGGAAACUUACGCUAAUACCGCAUACGACCUACGGGUGAAAGCAGGGGAUCUUCGGACCUUGCGCGAUUGAAUGAGCCGAUGUCGGAUUAGCUAGUUGGCGGGGUAAAGGCCCACCAAGGCGACGAUCCGUAGCUGGUCUGAGAGGAUGAUCAGCCACACUGGAACUGAGACACGGUCCAGACUCCUACGGGAGGCAGCAGUGGGGAAUAUUGGACAGUGGGCGCAAGCCUGAUCCAGCCAUACCGCGUGGGUGAAGAAGGCCUUCGGGUUGUAAAGCCCUUUUGUUGGGAAAGAAAAGCAGCAGGUUAAUACCCCGCUGUUCUGACGGUACCCAAAGAAUAAGCACCGGCUAACUUCGU